GAUGAACGCUGGCGGCGUGCCUAAUACAUGCAAGUCGAGCGAACAGACGAGGAGCUUGCUCCUCUGAAGUUAGCGGCGGACGGGUGAGUAACACGUGGAUAACCUACCUAUAAGACUGGGAUAACUUCGGGAAACCGGAGCUAAUACCGGAUAAUAUAUUGAACCGCAUGGUUCAAUAGUGAAAUACGGUUUUGCUGUCACUUAUAGAUGGAUCCGCGCCGCAUUAGCUAGUUGGUAAGGUAACGGCUUACCAAGGCAACGAUGCGUAGCCGACCUGAGAGGGUGAUCGGCCACACGGGAACUGAGACACGGUCCAGACUCCUAAGGGAGGCAGCAGUAGGGAAUCUUCCGCAAUGGGCGAAAGCCUGACGGAGCAACGCCGCGUGAGUGAUGAAGGUCUUCGGAUCGUAAAACUCUGUUAUUAGGGAAGAACAAAUGUGUAAGUAACUAUGCACGUCUUGACGGUACCUAAUCAGAAAGCCACGGCUAACUACGUG
Molecule: ribosomal RNA, 497 nt
Filed under: uncultured bacterium
Lineage: Bacteria
Description: partial 16S ribosomal RNA
Rfam family: Bacterial small subunit ribosomal RNA
Source: RNAcentral